UCAGCAUUCUGGUGCACGGAGUGUGAGGAAGCCAUUUGUGAUGACUGCCGAGAACAUCAUAAAGUGUUAAAAGCCACACGAAGUCACGAACUCAUAACAAUUGACAGGUACAAAUCUCUUCCAUCUUUCAUUACUGAUAUACUGCAGUCGUGUACUUAUCACAAUGAAAAGUAUCAACACUACUGUGUUGCGCAUGCGUUACCUAUGUGUUUUAAAUGCAUACAAGAACACCAGAAAUGCAACGUUAUACCUCUUGACGAAGUCACCAAAAACGCGAAGACAUCCGGGCACUUUCAAGAUUUAGAAACAAGACUGAUUUACUUAUUACACAAUAUCGAUUUAAUCAAGAAGGACCGAAAAGCUAAUUUGGACAGUAUUGAAGAAGGUAAAACGGGACAUUUAACAGAAAUUAAACCAAAUUAACAAACAUUUAGACACACUUGAAAAAGAAAUAAAACAAGAUCUUGAGAAAAAAGAGUGUCAAUGUAAAAAGAAUAUUCAGAAGGUUUUAGCAUCAGUUAAAGUAAAAGAAGACUUGAUCACAGAAUAUCAGACAAAUCUCCAAAGCAUCAAACAGCAUGCUUCCGAUCUUCAAACAGUUCUAGUAAUGAGGGAAAUUGAAAUGAAGGUUUUUGAAAAUGAA
This 643-nucleotide long non-coding RNA is filed under the name Mytilus galloprovincialis (Mediterranean mussel). The record is from RNAcentral. Lineage: Eukaryota; Metazoa; Mollusca; Bivalvia; Mytilida; Mytilidae.